UCCAGUGUGGCUCAGUGGAUAAGGAGACGGACUGGCACUCCUCAGGUCGUGAGUUCAAGCCUGACCUUACCCAGGUUGAG
Molecule: transfer RNA, 80 nt
Filed under: Xyrichtys novacula (pearly razorfish)
Lineage: Eukaryota; Metazoa; Chordata; Actinopteri; Labriformes; Labridae
Description: tRNA.Ala
Source: RNAcentral